UUCCCCAAUAGCUGAAUUUAUAGCGUAGCCUUGAAGCGGCUAAGGUGUUCUUAUUUCUUGGGGAAA
Molecule: transfer RNA, 66 nt
Filed under: Notocomplana palta
Lineage: Eukaryota; Metazoa; Platyhelminthes; Polycladida; Notocomplanidae
Description: tRNA-Tyr
Source: RNAcentral